UAUUCUGCCCCAUGGGGAAGGAUGAGAAGCUUCGACUAAGGUUCGACUCGAGCGAAGCGAGAGAACGUUGCCGCA
This 75-nucleotide small RNA is filed under the name Klebsiella pneumoniae. RNAcentral describes it as "partial RtT sRNA". It matches the Rfam family "RtT RNA", at positions 1 to 75 of the family's 130-position model. From Rfam's summary of the family: This family represents a bacterial cis-regulatory element known as RtT RNA. The exact function of RtT is unknown although it is thought that it may be involved in changing the cellular response in relation to amino acid starvation. The record is from RNAcentral. Lineage: Bacteria; Pseudomonadati; Pseudomonadota; Gammaproteobacteria; Enterobacterales; Enterobacteriaceae.